RNAcentral lists this ribosomal RNA (253 nucleotides) under uncultured bacterium. RNAcentral describes it as "partial 16S ribosomal RNA". It matches the Rfam family "Bacterial small subunit ribosomal RNA", at positions 524 to 776 of the family's 1533-position model. The record is from RNAcentral.
UACAGAGGGUGCGAGCGUUAAUCGGAAUUACUGGGCGUAAAGCGUGCGUAGACGGUUAUUUAAGUCGGAUGUGAAAGCCCCGGGCUCAACCUGGGAAUUGCAUUCGAGACUGAGUAGCUAGGGUACGGUAGAGGGAAGUGGAAUUUCCGGUGUAGCGGUGAAAUGCGUAGAUAUCGGAAGGAACAUCAGUGGCGAAAGCGACUUCCUGGACCAGUACCGACGUUCAGGCACGAAAGCGUGGGGAGCAAACAGG